AGGGAAUCUUCGGCAAUGGACGAAAGUCUGACCGAGCAACGCCGCGUGAGUGAUGAAGGUUUUCGGAUCGUAAAACUCUGUUGUCAGGGAAGAACAAGUACGAGAGUAACUGUUCGUACCUUGACGGUACCUGACCAGAAAGCCACGGCUAACUACGUGCCAGCAGCCGCGGUAAUACGUAGGUGGCAAGCGUUGUCCGGAAUUAUUGGGCGUAAAGCGCGCGCAGGCGGUUCGUUAAGUCUGAUGUGAAAGCCCACGGCUCAACCGUGGAGGGUCAUUGGAAACUGGGGAACUUGAGUGCAGGAGAGAAAAGUGGAAUUCCACGUGUAGCGGUGAAAUGCGUAGAGAUGUGGAGGAACACCAGUGGCGAAGGCGGCUUUUUGGCCUGUAACUGACGCUGAGGCGCGAAAGCGUGGGGAGCAAAC
This 425-nucleotide ribosomal RNA is filed under the name uncultured bacterium. RNAcentral describes it as "bacterial SSU rRNA". It matches the Rfam family "Bacterial small subunit ribosomal RNA", at positions 356 to 773 of the family's 1533-position model. The record is from RNAcentral.